This 442-nucleotide ribosomal RNA is filed under the name uncultured bacterium. RNAcentral's name for it is "SSU rRNA". It matches the Rfam family "Bacterial small subunit ribosomal RNA", at positions 26 to 518 of the family's 1533-position model. The record is from RNAcentral.
AGAACGAACGCUGGCGGCAGGCUUAACACAUGCAAGUCGAGCGCCCAGCAAUGGGAGCGGCGGACGGGUGCGUAACACGUGGGAACAUGCCUUUCGGUACGGAACAACUGCGGGAAACUGCAGCUAAUGCCGUAUACGCCCUUACGGGGAAAGAUUUAUCGCCGAAAGAUUGGCCCGCGUCUGAUUAGCUAGUUGGUGAGGUAACGGCUCACCAAGGCUUCGAUCAGUAGCUGGUUUGAGAGAACGACCAGCCACACUGGGACUGAGACACGGCCCAGACUCCUACGGGAGGCAGCAGUGGGGAAUCUUGGACAAUGGAGGAAACUCUGAUCCAGCCAUGCCGCGUGAGUGAUGAAGGCCUUCGGGUUGUAAAACUCUUUUACCGGAAGAUAAUGACUGUACCGGGAGAAUAAGCUCCGGCUAACUUCGCGCCAGCAGCCGC